CCUACGCGAGGCAGCAGUGCGGAAUACUGGACAAUGGGCGAAAGCCUGAUCCAGCAAUGCCGCGUGUGUGAAGAAGGCCUGCGGGUUGUAAAGCACUUUCAGUAGGGAAGAUAAUGACGGUACCUACAGAAGAAGCACCGGCUAACUCCGUGCCAGCAGCCGCGGUAAUACGGAGGGUGCAAGCGUUAAUCGGAAUUACUGGGCGUAAAGCGUGCGUAGGUGGUUUAGUAAGUCGGAUGUGAAAUCCCCGGGCUCAACCUGGGAAUUGCAUUCGAAACUGCUUCACUAGAGUCUAGCAGAGGGAUGGGGAAUUCCGGGUGUAGCGGUGAAAUGCGUAGAGAUCCGGAGGAACAUCAGUGGCGAAGGCGCCAUCCUGGGCUAAGACUGACACUGAGGCACGAAAGCGUGGGGAGCAAACAGGAUUAAAUACCCUGGUAG
This 438-nucleotide ribosomal RNA is filed under the name uncultured bacterium. RNAcentral describes it as "bacterial SSU rRNA". It matches the Rfam family "Bacterial small subunit ribosomal RNA", at positions 338 to 793 of the family's 1533-position model. The record is from RNAcentral.